UCUCCUGGAAACGGGUGGUAAUGCCGGAUGCUCCGACAUGACGCAUGUCGUGUCGGGAAAGAUUCUAUCGGUAUGGGAUGGGGUCGCGUCCUAUCAGCUUGAUGGCGGGGUAACGGCCCACCAUGGCUUCGACGGGUAGCCGGCCUGAGAGGGCGACCGGCCACAUUGGGACUGAGAUACGGCCCAGACUCCUACGGGAGGCAGCAGUGGGGAAUAUUGCACAAUGGGCGCAAGCCUGAUGCAGCGACGCCGCGUGCGGGAUGACGGCCUUCGGGUUGUAAACCGCUUUUGACUGGGAGCAAGCCCUUCGGGGUGAGUGUACCUUUCGAAUAAGCACCGGCUAACUACGUGCCAGCAGCCGCGGUAAUACGUAGGGUGCAAGCGUUAUCCGGAAUUAUUGGGCGUAAAGGGCUCGUAGGCGGUUCGUCGCGUCCGGUGUGAAAGUCCAUCGCUUAACGGUGGAUCCGCGCCGGGUACGGGCGGGCUUGAGUGCGGUAGGGGAGACUGGAAUUCCCGGUGUAACGGUGGAAUGUGUAGAUAUCGGAAAGAACACCA
Molecule: ribosomal RNA, 555 nt
Filed under: Bifidobacterium adolescentis
Lineage: Bacteria; Bacillati; Actinomycetota; Actinomycetes; Bifidobacteriales; Bifidobacteriaceae
Description: bacterial SSU rRNA
Rfam family: Bacterial small subunit ribosomal RNA
Source: RNAcentral